RNAcentral lists this ribosomal RNA (1567 nucleotides) under uncultured fungus. Its description in RNAcentral is "eukaryotic LSU rRNA". The stretch from base 737 to 1567 matches the Rfam family "Eukaryotic large subunit ribosomal RNA", at positions 1 to 667 of the family's 3401-position model. The record is from RNAcentral. Lineage: Eukaryota; Fungi.
CUUGGUCAUUUAGAGGAAGUAAAAGUCGUAACAAGGUUUCCGUAGGUGAACCUGCGGAAGGAUCAUUAUCACGUAUCCACGUAUAAACCAUUGUGAACCGUACCACCCUUUGGGAGAGAUGAGUUAGUGUUCAAUCAUACUACAUGAACUCUUUAUUGUGAUUUAUAGUUCAUUUGAUUGGACCUCGGGGUUCCUUCGGAGCUUCCGUACUUUCUUUCCUAGAGGUGUAUUUCUAUAAAUCGCUUGAUUAACAAUUUGAACAAACCUUUAUAACUUUUGAACUGACUUGUUUCUUACUCCUCUAACCGGGAGAAGAAAUUCAUUACGAAACAAAGAACAACUCUUAGCAACGGAUAUCUUGGUUCUCGUAACGAUGAAGAACGCAGCGAAAUGCGAUACGUAAUGCGAAUUGCAGAAUUCAGUGAAUCAUCAAAUCUUUGAACGCAAAUUGCGCUUUCCGGAUAGGCCGGGGAGCAUGCCUCUUUGAGCAUCGUUUCUACUCUACCUCGGCAGCUUGCUGCUCGGAUAAUGAGUUGUCUCAAUCGAAAGAUUGAGUCACUUUAAGAAGCGUGAGUUUCUAACUCCUAGUUCACCCUUCAAUGGGUGCCCUGUUUGAGGGUUUACCAACUAGUGACGUGGAUAAAUUUUAUUUUACGUCAUUGGGAAGUUCACUUUCUGCAUGGCUAAGACCUGGGGUUUGAUAUAAACUCGAGGAAAUUAAAAUUCUUUUUGAAUUAGAUCUCAAAUGAAGCAAGAUUACCCGCUGAACUUAAGCAUAUUAUUAAGCGGAGGAAAAGAAACUAACAAGGAUGCCCUCAGUAACGGCGAGUGAAGCGGGCAAAGCUCAACCUGAAAAUCGGAUUCCUUAGCGGGAUUUCGAAUUGUGGGGUUCUGACGCGUGAUCAGUGUGUGGCCCAGGUAUAAAUCUCUUUGAAACGAGGUAUCAUAGAGGGUGAGAAUCCCGUCUGUGACUUGGUGUCCGCCGCGUACGAUCCGUGUUCGCAGAGUCGCGUUGUUUGGGAUUGCAGCGCUAAAUGGGUGGUAAAUUUCAUCUAAAGCUAAAUAUCGACGAGGGACCGAUAGCGAACAAGUACCGUGAGGGAAAGAUGAAAAGAACUUUGAAAAGAGAGUUAAAAAGUACUUGAAAUUGCUAAGAGGGAAGCACUGGAAACCAGUCGUGACUCGCGUGUAUAUUUAGCCUUUGCUCCUGGAUCCGCGUCGUGUGGAGAGCCCAAAGCCUUCUAGCGAUUCGGUGAAAUGGUGGGGGUGCCCUGUACUGUGAGUUGAGUCAGAAUCAAUUUGAUGCGUGAGAGAAAGCUAUCACAACGGUAGGACCGCGGGGGCAACUUCAAGGUCUGUUUAGUGUGGUAGUCCUAUCAUGCGUUAGAUUGAGGGACAAUCGAAAAGCGCACCACUAGGUUUUCGGUUCCCCGACCCUGGGGUCUCAAGUGGCGUGUACAACAAAGUUGUGCUGUCGCUGAAGGGCCUUACUGGAAGGGAUGAACUAGAAGCAGCUUUCGAGAUUCUGACGAAAUGGUUUUCAUUGACCCGUCUUGAAACACGGACC